Molecule: non-coding RNA, 21 nt
Filed under: Caenorhabditis elegans
Lineage: Eukaryota; Metazoa; Nematoda; Chromadorea; Rhabditida; Rhabditidae
Source: RNAcentral
UGCCAUCCAAUAAUUAUGUGG